RNAcentral lists this ribosomal RNA (230 nucleotides) under uncultured bacterium. Its description in RNAcentral is "partial 16S ribosomal RNA". It matches the Rfam family "Bacterial small subunit ribosomal RNA", at positions 562 to 791 of the family's 1533-position model. The record is from RNAcentral.
AAAGCGUGCGCAGGCGGUCUUGUAAGUUUGUCGUGAAAGCCCCGGGCUCAACCUGGGAAUUGCGAUGAAGACUGCAAGGCUAGAGUUUGGCAGAGGGGGGUAGAAUUCCACGUGUAGCAGUGAAAUGCGUAGAUAUGUGGAGGAACACCGAUGGCGAAGGCAGCCCCCUGGGUCAAAACUGACGCUCAUGCACGAAAGCGUGGGGAGCAAACAGGAUUAGAUACCCUUGU